UCCCCUACGGGGGGCAGCAGUGAGGAAUAUUGGUCAAUGGGCGGGAGCCUGAACCAGCCAAGUCGCGUGAGGGAAGAAGGUACUGAGUAUUGUAAACCUCUUUUGCCAGGGGACAAAGGCGGCCACGGGUGGCCGUAAGAGGGUACCUGGAGAAAAAGCAUCGGCUAACUCCGUGCCAGCAGCCGCGGUAAUACGGAGGAUGCGAGCGUUAUCCGGAUUUAUUGGGUUUAAAGGGAGCGUAGAUGGGUUGUUAAGUCAGUUGUG
RNAcentral lists this ribosomal RNA (264 nucleotides) under uncultured bacterium. RNAcentral describes it as "partial 16S ribosomal RNA". It matches the Rfam family "Bacterial small subunit ribosomal RNA", at positions 335 to 596 of the family's 1533-position model. The record is from RNAcentral.